Molecule: non-coding RNA, 388 nt
Organism: Paramuricea clavata
Lineage: Eukaryota; Metazoa; Cnidaria; Anthozoa; Malacalcyonacea; Plexauridae
Source: the annotation of a GenBank genome assembly
CUCUGCGUGUGUCUAAAACUGCAAUCGAGUCAAAUCAACUGUCAUCCCGACACUAGCUCGCCUUUGGGAAACAUAACAAUUAGUUCAAAUCUUGCAAUCCUCCCCGAAAAACUCUGUUUUGUAUGGAUCUCAACUCGAGAUACAAAUUUGAGAAAAUUCAACCUUCCAAAAUAUCAUCGCUACGGUAUAGAACUACGGACCACCAAGUUUUCAAGUCAUGCACUUAUUUGCAUCUUACUAUCUGGCGAUAUUGCUACUAAUCCUGGUCCUAAUACUGCCCCCUCUACCGGCUUAAAUGUUCUUUAUCUGAAUGCUCGAAGUAUUAAAGCUUUCGUCCCCCUUGAUGACGACCCUUCACGAAAAGUUUGCAAAAUGUCCAUACUACAGG